UCAGAAGAAGCUGUGUACUGUAUAUCUUUAUUAUGUGCUAUGUACAUCAUUUACAGUAUAGUACAGCAACAAUACAGGGAUAUGCUACACACUCAGGAUUGCACAGUUUUAGAGUUAGGCCACAGCGGUUGGGUACCGUGGUUAUGAGACAUAACAGUAAGUACAGCAUACAUCUUUGGCUUCAUUGAAAUAACAAAAGCAUGAACACAGACAAUGCAAACUUUAGUCCACAGGAAGUACUGACUAAAAAAAAAAAAAAAACAGAAGGAAGAAAAAAAAAAUCCAUGUUUUCUUCAUAUUUGAGUUGUGUUUCAGGUUAAUACAACAACACAGCCCUGAAUUCAGUCAAAAUGAUUUUCCCACGUGGGAUGUGCCUGUGCAUAUGGAAAUAAUCUGUGCAUACACCAAGGGGAUCACAAUAGCGAGAGUAAAUUCUAAUUCAUUCUCUAACUGGCAUCAUUUCUCCCGGCCUAUUAAUUUGCGGUAAAAUUAAACUAGUCCUCAUUUUGCUGGGCUUGUUUUCCGAUUGAGCCUCUCUGCCUCCUCGUAAUACAGAAUCUCCGAUUCUCCUCCCACCAACACACAGCGGCGGUCACAGCCUACAGAGCGUCGGGUUGAGGGACGGAAUACAGAGAGAAACAGAGGAGACGGAGAUUGGAUGAAAGAUAGAUGGGGAAAGAGAGCAGUAAAGAGCGAGUGGGAGAGAGAGGAGGGGAGUGACACGGUGAGAUAGAGCAAGAGAGAGGGGAGCCGACAGAGAGAUGGAUGCAGCAGGGUCGCUGAGGUGAGGAGAUGGUGUAAUGAUUAGAUCACAGAUACCCUUGAGCCUUCCUCCCGUCCCUCCUGCCCACAAAAAAAAAGAAAAGAAAAAAUCUGGAGGCACACUUGGACGAGAGGAAAGCCUGCAGCUGUAAAUGGCCCCGCUGUCAGAGUUCAUCUGGGUGGAGGAGGGAGAGCAGGAGUGGAUUACCAGAGUCUGCGAUUAGAGGAGCCCACUCCAGCUCUCCAGUUCUCCCCAGACGGGAGAGAGGUGUGCUCCUUCUGCAGCACAACUCUCUCUCACUCUCAAAUCUCAUGUUUGACUGUUCGGAGACAGCAGUCGUGCUGGAGAGCAGGAGGUCCUGAAGGCUCUUACUUGAUGAGAAGUUUCUCGAACAUCAGAAAUGAUCAAUACACGUCAAAAAAAUAAAAAAUAAAAGUCAUGGUGGUAUCUGCCCAAGGAGCAGUUUAAACAACCCUCCUUUUGUACUUUGAUACUCUGGGCUUGUCUUUCAGAGCUUCCUCUGUUUCUCACGCUCGCAGCAGCACGUCUGAGCCUGCUGCCAGCUGUUUCCUUUAAUAUCGUUCACCUCCUAAUCAGAUGAUGUCAUGCCCAAACUUUUGCAGAGUGAGAAGUGGCUGCUAGGCUGUGUUUAAAAUGCUUCCAUCUAGUGGUCACUUAACGACACUGUUGAUGAGCAGAGGAAAGUGUGUCGGGUAGGCAGGGAGACGGCACAAACAUAUGACAACGCGAUCCUUCGGUCUAGUUCUUUAAGAAAACGUCUGCAUAUAAAACACAUUUCUCCUACAUAUCACAAAAGGCGUGGAGAGACGGCGCUGACAAGGAGUUAUUAAUGACUUUCAACUAUAAUGGCUCCAUUAAGCGUAUAUAAAUGGCUUGCUUCAUAAUAAAUCGUUACUUAAAUUCAGAAAAUGUGAUACUCAGUGGCAUCACCGCAGUGCAGACGUGACAGUGGAAGGGCUAGCUCUGACUGGAAGGAUUGCCCUGCGGGCUGAUUCUCGAGUUAGCUGAAGAGCGAUGGUUUCUUUCAUCUCGUCAAAUCAAUACAAACUCUGAAAACUCAACGUCUACAAGAGAAUUUCACCAUAGUUUCCACUUAAGCUGCUCCUUAAGCUUCCCUGCAGUGUGCUCCAAUGACAAAUGCGAUCAUAUUUUAGCUGAACUGCAUGGUUAAAAAAAAAAGAAGG
This is a long non-coding RNA of Astatotilapia calliptera (eastern happy), 1968 nucleotides long. The record is from Ensembl. Lineage: Eukaryota; Metazoa; Chordata; Actinopteri; Cichliformes; Cichlidae.